UACGUAGGAGGCGAGCGUUAAUCGGAAUUACUGGGCGUAAAGCGUGCGCAGGCGGUUGUGCAAGACCGAUGUGAAAUCCCCGGGCUUAACCUGGGAAUGGCAUUGGUGACUGCACGGCUAGAGUGUGUCAGAGGGGGGUAGAAUUCCACGUGUAGCAGUGAAAUGCGUAGAGAUGUGGAGGAAUACCGAUGGCGAAGGCAGCCCCCUGGGAUAACACUGACGCUCAUGCACGAAAGCGUGGGGAGCAAACAGG
Molecule: ribosomal RNA, 253 nt
Filed under: uncultured bacterium
Lineage: Bacteria
Description: partial 16S ribosomal RNA
Rfam family: Bacterial small subunit ribosomal RNA
Source: RNAcentral